CGGCGAGUAGCGCAGCUUGGUAGCGCAACUGGUUUGGGGACCAGUGGGUCGGAGGUUCGAAUCCUCUCUCGCCGACCA
RNAcentral lists this transfer RNA (78 nucleotides) under Escherichia coli. RNAcentral describes it as "tRNA-Pro". It matches the Rfam family "tRNA". From Rfam's summary of the family: Transfer RNA (tRNA) molecules are approximately 80 nucleotides in length. Their secondary structure includes four short double-helical elements and three loops (D, anti-codon, and T loops). The record is from RNAcentral. Lineage: Bacteria; Pseudomonadati; Pseudomonadota; Gammaproteobacteria; Enterobacterales; Enterobacteriaceae.